AGUGAACUCUGGCGGUAGGCUUAACACAUGCAAGUCGAACGGCAGCACAGUAAGAGCUUGCUCUUACGGGUGGCGAGUGGCGGACGGGUGAGGAAUACAUCGGAAUCUACUUUUUCGUGGGGGAUAACGUAGGGAAACUUACGCUAAUACCGCAUACGACCUACGGGUGAAAGCAGGGGAUCUUCGGACCUUGCGCGAUUGAAUGAGCCGAUGUCGGAUUAGCUAGUUGGCGGGGUAAAGGCCCACCAAGGCGACGAUCCGUAGCUGGUCUGAGAGGAUGAUCAGCCACACUAGAACUGAGACACGGUCCAGACUCCUACGGGAGGCAGCAGUGGGGAAUAUUGGACAAUGGGCGCAAGCCUGAUCCAGCCAUACCGCGUGGGUGAAGAAGGCCUUCGGGUUGUAAAGCCCUUUUGUUGGGAAAGAAAAGCAGCAGGUUAAUACCCCGCUGUUCUGACGGUACCCAAAGAAUAAGCACCGGCUAACUUCGUG
RNAcentral lists this ribosomal RNA (492 nucleotides) under uncultured bacterium. RNAcentral's name for it is "partial 16S ribosomal RNA". It matches the Rfam family "Bacterial small subunit ribosomal RNA", at positions 29 to 507 of the family's 1533-position model. The record is from RNAcentral.